Molecule: long non-coding RNA, 392 nt
Filed under: Equus caballus (horse)
Lineage: Eukaryota; Metazoa; Chordata; Mammalia; Perissodactyla; Equidae
Description: lncRNA (ENSECAG00000049368.1)
Source: RNAcentral
CUCGAAGCCUGGCUUGGAGAAGCCCAAGCUGGUCCCCGUAGAGGCAGCCAUGCAGGGUUAUGUGCUUCCAGAUUUCUGGUAUUAAGAACAGAGUGGCUGGUUUACUGAAACAAGAUGAAGAGAGAUUUGGGAAGAAAAUCAAGAGUUCGAUUUGGAUUUUAAAAUUUAAGUACCUUUGAGACAUCCAGGUGGAGAUGUCAAGAGGACAUUUGGAAAUACUGGAGUAGAAGUCAAGGGAGAGAUCCUGAGUGAAGGUCACACACACUGAGAGUGUGGAUGGCGCGCCAGGGGCAGGGGUUCCAAGAAGACCUAGGACUUAGUCCUGAGAAACACUGACUGCUAAAGGUUAGACGAAAGAUGAGAAGCUGGCCAUAAAUAAAGACUAAAACGGG